This 484-nucleotide ribosomal RNA is filed under the name uncultured bacterium. Its description in RNAcentral is "partial 16S ribosomal RNA". It matches the Rfam family "Bacterial small subunit ribosomal RNA", at positions 30 to 507 of the family's 1533-position model. The record is from RNAcentral.
AUUGAACGCUGGCGGCAUGCCUAACACAUGCAAGUCGAACGGCAGCACGGGGACAGUUCUGGUGUCGCGUGGGGGACGGGGACGUGAGACAUAUGUACGUGACCCGGCCUGAGGGAUGGGGUAACGUACGGUAAACGGAAACCACAACCGAUCAGAGUAUGAAGGCCAAGGAGCGUGAGGUCCCGCCCGAUUGGCGUCGGCUGUGUCCGAUUAGGUAGUUGGUGGGGUAACGGCAUACCAAGGCGACGAUCAGUAGCUGGUCUGAGAGGAUGACCAGCCACACUGGGACUGAGACACGGUCCAGACUCCUACGGGAGGCAGCAGUGGGGAAUUUUGCACAAUGGGCGCAAGCCUGAUGCAGCCAUGCCGCGUGUAUGACGAAGGCCUUCGGGUUGUAAACUGCUUUUAUCCGGGACGAAAAGAGUCUGGCUAAUACCUGGACUUCUUGACGGUACCGUAAGAAUAAGCACCGGCUAACUACGUG